RNAcentral lists this non-coding RNA (21 nucleotides) under Caenorhabditis elegans. The record is from RNAcentral. Lineage: Eukaryota; Metazoa; Nematoda; Chromadorea; Rhabditida; Rhabditidae.
UGCUUGAGUUGAAUUGUAUCA